AACGAACGCUGGCGGCAGGCUUAACACAUGCAAGUCGAACGGGCACCUUCGGGUGUCAGUGGCAGACGGGUGAGUAACGCGUGGGAACGUACCCUUCGGUUCGGAAUAACCCAGGGAAACUUGGGCUAACACCGGAUACGUCCGCAAGGAGAAAGAUUUAUCGCCGAAGGAUCGGCCCGCGUCGGAUUAGCUAGUUGGUGGGGUAAUGGCCCACCAAGGCGACGAUCCGUAGCUGGUCUGAGAGGAUGAUCAGCCACACUGGGACUGAGACACGGCCCAGACUCCUACGGGAGGCAGCAGUGGGGAAUAUUGGACAAUGGGCGAAAGCCUGAUCCAGCCAUGCCGCGUGAGUGAAGAAGGCCUCAGGGUUGUAAAGCUCUUUCAGCGGGAAGAUAAUGACGGUACCCGCAGAAGAAGUCCCGG
This 423-nucleotide ribosomal RNA is filed under the name uncultured bacterium. RNAcentral describes it as "bacterial SSU rRNA". It matches the Rfam family "Bacterial small subunit ribosomal RNA", at positions 29 to 496 of the family's 1533-position model. The record is from RNAcentral.